RNAcentral lists this ribosomal RNA (270 nucleotides) under uncultured prokaryote. RNAcentral's name for it is "partial 16S ribosomal RNA". It matches the Rfam family "Archaeal small subunit ribosomal RNA", at positions 474 to 743 of the family's 1478-position model. The record is from RNAcentral.
UCCCAGCAGUCCAAGUCGCAACCACAACUGUUUGGUCUAAAACAUCCGUAGCUUGCUAUGUAAGUCUUCUGUGAAAUUUCACAUCUUAAGUGUGGAGCGGGCAGAGGAUACUGCACAGCUAGGGACCGAAGGACGCAAGGAGUACAAUCAAGGUAGUGGUAAAAUAUGUUAAUCUUGAUUGGACUAACAAUAGCGAAGGCACCUUGCGACGGCGGAUCCGACAGUGAGGGAUGAAAGCUAGGGGCGCAAAAUGGAUUAGAUACCCCUGUA